RNAcentral lists this ribosomal RNA (260 nucleotides) under uncultured Anaerolineaceae bacterium. Its description in RNAcentral is "partial 16S ribosomal RNA". It matches the Rfam family "Bacterial small subunit ribosomal RNA", at positions 1125 to 1382 of the family's 1533-position model. Lineage: Bacteria; Bacillati; Chloroflexota; Anaerolineae; Anaerolineales; Anaerolineaceae. The record is from RNAcentral.
GUUACAAGUGUCACACGGAACUGGCCGGUCCGAUUAAACCCGGAGGAAGUGGGGAUGACGUCAAGUCAGCAUGGCCUUUAUAUCCUGGGCUACACACACGCUACAAUGGGAAGGGACAAUAGGUUGCGAAGCCGCGAGGCGGAGCCAAUCCAGCAAAACUUCCCUCAGUUCAGAUUGCAGGCUGCAACUCGCCUGCAUGAAGUUGGAGUUGCUAGUAAACGCAGGUCAGCCAUACUGCGUUGAAUACGUUCCCGGGGCUU